GCGCCAAUAGCUCAGUUGGGAGAGCGUCAGACUGAAGUGAUUCGGUCAUUAAUCUGAAGGUCACCCGUUCAAUCCGGGUUUGGCGCA
This is a non-coding RNA of Ascodesmis nigricans, 87 nucleotides long. The record is from the annotation of a GenBank genome assembly. Lineage: Eukaryota; Fungi; Ascomycota; Pezizomycetes; Pezizales; Ascodesmidaceae.